CAGAUACAAACUAGGAGUACAGACCACGUCAACCGACUAGCUGACUACCCGCCUGCCUACCUGCCGAUCUACCUACUGACUUGGUUGAAUGAAUGAUAUCCACUAAUGAUAUCUGGUGAUGAUAUUCAGUAAUGACAUUUACCAAUAAUGUCUAUCGAUAUCUAGCAAUGGUAUCUAGCGAUGAUAUAUACCGAUGAUGAAAUAGAUCGAUGAUAUAUGAAUGAUGAUGUAUACCAAUGAUAUCUGCGAUGAUAUCUACAGAUGAUAUAUAAUUGUGGCCAUGACUCACCCACCAGUUGGCCCUUUGGGUGGGUCCCACCGCAACGAUAUUUUCAUUGCAAUGAUAUUUCUCUCAUUUAUUUUGUACUAUCUAUGUGGGAAAAGUCCCAAUAACCCUGUCUAUCUAUAGUAAAAAGCUCAUUAUCUACAUCCUCAGUACCUUCUUCAUCAGAAUGAUUCAAAAUAUUGGCAAUUUGCUGUUGUUGAGCUGCCUUCAUGCCUGAUGCUCAUGCUGCUGCUGCAAGCUCUUGUUGUAUUUGAUUGAUGAACUUUCAUGUAUCUUCUGCCUUAUAUUCUGCAAUUUGUCCUUUGGCAUUCUUGACAGUCAUUAUUUCUUCUAUAUUAAUCUGUCUUUGUGAUCUUUUUUCUUUUUGAUGUUGAUGAGCUGUAAGAAGUUGAUUGAGAUCUUGCUUGUGUUGAGCAUUGAGUUCUGUCUGUAUUAAACUCUCUGCAAAUAUAUUCUGAAGACAAUGACCCAACUUAGAAGAACUGUCAUUAAGAUAGUUCUCAAUAUUCUUCAAUGCCUCUUUUGCCUUUGUAAUAUCAUGUUGGAGAUCAUGUAUAUUCUUUGAUGAGGAGGCUAAAGAGGAUGAGAACUGCAAUUCUACACUCUUAUUGUCAUCUCAAAUCUG
Molecule: small RNA, 911 nt
Filed under: Histoplasma capsulatum var. duboisii H88
Lineage: Eukaryota; Fungi; Ascomycota; Eurotiomycetes; Onygenales; Ajellomycetaceae
Description: Histoplasma capsulatum H88 hypothetical RNA
Source: RNAcentral